RNAcentral lists this transfer-messenger RNA (64 nucleotides) under Porticoccaceae bacterium. RNAcentral describes it as "partial transfer-messenger RNA". It matches the Rfam family "transfer-messenger RNA", at positions 311 to 374 of the family's 374-position model. From Rfam's summary of the family: Bacterial tmRNA, also known as 10Sa RNA or SsrA, is named for its dual tRNA and mRNA-like properties. Its role is to liberate the mRNA from a stalled ribosome. The record is from RNAcentral. Lineage: Bacteria; Pseudomonadati; Pseudomonadota; Gammaproteobacteria; Cellvibrionales; Porticoccaceae.
AACAUGUAGUCGCCGGUGUGUGGCGGAUUUGCGGACGCGGGUUCGAUUCCCGCCGCCUCCACCA